This 3420-nucleotide long non-coding RNA is filed under the name Homo sapiens (human). RNAcentral describes it as "non-protein coding lnc-RACK1-2:2". The record is from RNAcentral. Lineage: Eukaryota; Metazoa; Chordata; Mammalia; Primates; Hominidae.
ACUACUAGCUACAUAUGACUUGAGCUCUUGAAAUGUGGCUAGUGCACCUCAUGAACUCAAUUUUUAAGAUAGUAUUUAAUUUAAUUUUAAUUAGCCACAUGUAGCUAGUGGCUAUCAAAUCCUAUUUAACAGCACAGUUCUGUACAACCAAAGUCUAGUUCUUCCUGGGGCCCUUGGGAGUAGCAAGUCCAAGGGGGAGGAUAAAAACAGAAAUGAAACAAUUUUCUUUUUCCAGCUGGGAGCGGUAGGCUGUAAGGUAAUAUUUUUAGACAUAAAAGGAGAAAAUAUUUUAUUUUUAAAAUCUGACCAAAAUGAUCUUGAGCCACCUAUCACUUCUGAUACACGUGGAUCACACGGGUGACGAGACAGGAGAAAACUAGGGGAAACAAGUUAGAAAAUAAACUGUAUUACCUUCUCCUAUCAAAAAAGGUCUGGGGCUAGAGCUGGAGCCUCAAAAUAGGAGGGAUAAUAAAUAUAGGGUUUUACUUUGUGCCUGACUUUUUGAAAAUGGGAUGGGGGGCAAAACCUAGUAUUGAAGCAGGUAAGUGGGUUCUUUCCGUGUUACAGCAGAUGAGGGUGAUGAGGAGCUCUUGGAGUCCUGGAAGAGAGAGCAGCCUGUGCUGACAGAGUUAAUGAGAGGACAGAUCUAGGAGUAACAGGGUCUGAGGAGAGGAGAUGGCCUCCCAGACCAUGAGAACUAACAGUUGUGAUAAAUUUAAUCAUAGUCUGUCCAAACCAGAGAGUCCUCAAGUGUGGUAUGAGAAUCCUGGGUGUGGGGCAGUGAGCUCAUUUCUGCUCUUGAGAAGUGUAGGAGAUGCAGCAAGGUUCCUGCUAUCAGGAGACCUGCAAAGAUGGAAGGAAACGUUCCUCUAAGUUAUUACUUGUCUCACCUCCUCCCUCCCCCAAAGGAAGGGGAAAGAUAGACACCUCGGGGAUUUGAAUUAGAAAUAGCCCUUUGGAGGGUUUUCUUUAAGAACAAGGAGGCUUAUCCUCUAUAGCGAUUCCCCCUGCUGAGGUUUGUGCUUAGGCCUUCCUAGCUUUCUCGUCUCAUCUUUUUUCUUUUUUUUUUUGAGUUUUGCCCUUGUCGCCCAGGCUCUGGAGUGCAGUGACACGACCUCGGCUCACUGCAACCUCCACCUCCCAGGUUCAAGCAGUUCUCCUGCCUCAGCCUCCAGGGUAGCUGGGAUUACAAGCAUGUGCUACCACGCCCAGCUAAUUUUUUUAUAUUUAAAAAAAUUAAAAUGUAAUUUUAAUUGUUGGCCAGGCUGGUCUCGAACUCCUGACCUCAGGUGAUCUGUCCACCUCGGCCUCCCAAAGUGCUGGGAUUAUAGGCAGGAGCCACCACGCCCAGCCAUCUCCCCUCAUCUUAAGGGACCGAGAUCCCAACUUAGAGCCCUUUGGUUGACAAUUCCAGCUGGCAGUAAGCAGAGUCCUACAAAGAUAAGGAGGGAUCCAGGUGGCCUGGAGAGGAUCCAUGGAGCUCACAUCCCCAUGCUACUUUAAAUCCUUUGACAAGGAGGCUAGAAGCUUGACUUCUCCCUGCAUUUCUUUUUUUUUUUCUUUUUUUGAGAUGCAGUCUCCCUCUGUUGCCCAGGCUGGAGUGCGGUGACGCAAUCUCGGCUCACUGCAACCUCUGCCUCCUGGGUUCAAGUGAUUCUCCUGCCUCAGCCUCCCAAGUAGCUGGGAUUACAAGCAUGCACCACCACGCCCAGCUAAUUUUUGUAUUUUUAGGAGAGACAGGGUUUUGCCAUGCUGGUCAGGCUGGUCUUGAACUCCUGACCUCAAGUGACCCACCUGCCUUGGCCUCCCAAAGUGCUGGAAUUACAGGCAUGAACCACCGCGCCCGGCCAUCCCUGCAUUUAUUAUAGUCCUGUCUGGACCAUCCCCUUUCCACAGCCUCUGACUCUGUAUCUGCCAAAGCACCCAGGCCUAGCCCACAGUCCAUCUCCCAAGGAAGCCCCGGCCAAAGCCUCCACUGGGUGGUGAGAAUGCAACACUUAGCAGAAACAGAGCAGUCCUUGUGAGGAGACACCUGAGGGAUAAGAAGAACCAGUAUACACUACACCACCGCUGUGAAAGCAUGAAACAAAUGUGACCUAGACCUGAGGGUCCCAGAGGCUUCCCUGAACAGGCAACCUAAGCUGAGACCCCAAGAAAGCUUAGAUUGAACCGAGAGGGUUGGGGAGGGAUGUGAUGGGCCUUCCAGGCAGAACAAUGUGUGUUCUGUGUGGGAGAGAACUAAUGAGUUUGGAGGAAGAGCGGAGGCCCAGUCUGGCCACAAACACAAGAGUAUGGGACACGCCAGAGGAAGCCACACGGAUUUUGCAGGGAGACAGUAAGGAUUUUGCUCAUCAUCUUAAAGUACGUAAAGUACGUGGGAAAGCCUCCUGCACAGAGUUUUAGCUGGCAGUCAGCAGGCCCUCUGGUCCUGGCCACGCACCUUUCCCUCAGCCUCGCCUCAGCAUUCAAGGGAAAACCUGCCACCGCGCAAGCCCUCCAGGGUCUGGAAUGCUGGCAGGAGGGGAUGGAUGCCUCUGCUCCUGGAGAAAAGGGCUCUGGCAGGGAAGCCUGAGGGGCUGGUUCCAACUGUACAGGUCCUGUGGACUCCUCAGAAAAGGAAUGGUGAGAUGGAUUUUCAUAGGAGAGCCUCUCCAAUUUCUCCUUGGGACGACGGGGUUUCACCGUGUUAGCCAGGAUGGUCUCGAUCUCCUGACCUCGUGAUCCGCCCGCCUCGGCCUCCCAAAGUGCUGGGAUUACAGGCGUGAGCCACCGUGCCCGGCCUCUCCUUGGGACUCUUACCUUGUAUGGAAUGGAAGUGGUGCCUCUGGGGUCCCAGACACGGGAGAGAGGAAGCAGCCCAGGGGCUGGGAGAAGUGGUGAGACCCAGAAGAACGGUGGACCCAGUCAGGAAGGGUCCUGCCAGCAGGGCGUGGGCCAGCCUCGGGGUCUUCCCCAAAAGGCAGGUAGGGGCCUCCAGCAAGCUUCCCACCUCCGUGAGGCUGGAGAAGAGGCCCCCUGGAUGAGAAGGAAGAGGCCGGCAGGUCCGGCGGGCGCAGGCACAGGGUCCUCAACCCGGGAACCCCUCGCACCGCGAAUCUCAGUCCACAGCGGGAGGCGGGUGUGGUCGUUCACCUAUUUGUGCCCGAGGGCUCAGGGAGGCGCUGGCAUGACCCGAGUGGGGGGCAGCAAGCUGGUUAGCGGGAGGGUGAAGGCAGCGGUCUUCCACGACCACCACAAUCACCUGGGUAGGGAUUGAGUCCCGUAUUGGAAAAGCGAAAGAACAGUCAGCUGGGGGUGCCAAGGAGGCAGGUGAUGUAUACAAACCUGGAGCCUUAGGAUGGUCCACAGGCUGCGGAGGACCACAGCCAGGACAACGUCCCGGAAAGCCCAAGGGAGACUGCGGCGGAAGGCAGGGGAACC